ACUCAAAGGAAUUGACGGGGGCCCGCACAAGCGGUGGAACAUGUGGUUUAAUUCGACACUACGCGAGGAACCUUACCUAGGCUUGACAUGCUUUUGACAGCCGUAGAAACACGGUCUUCCUAACUUGUUAGGACAAUUGCACAGGUGCUGCAUGGUUGUCGUCAGCUCGUGUCGUGAGAUGUUGGGUUAAGUCCUUUAACGAGCGCAACCCUUGCCGAUAGUUGCUAUUUGCUUGCAAAGCACUCUAUCGGGACUGCCUGGGAAACCAGGAGGAAGGUGGGGAUGACGUCAAAUCAUCAUGGUCCUUAUGUCUAGGGCUACACACGUGUUACAAUGGCCAGUACAAAAGGUAGCAAUCCCGUAAGGAGGAGCAAACCCCAAAAGCUGGUCUAAGUUCGGAUUGCGGUCUGCAACUCGACCGCAUGAAGUUGAAAUCGCUAGUAAUCGCGUAUCAGCAACGACGCGGUGAAUACGUUCACGGGCCUUGUACACACCGCCCGU
This 501-nucleotide ribosomal RNA is filed under the name uncultured bacterium. Its description in RNAcentral is "partial 16S ribosomal RNA". It matches the Rfam family "Bacterial small subunit ribosomal RNA", at positions 899 to 1397 of the family's 1533-position model. The record is from RNAcentral.